This is a non-coding RNA of Pelobates cultripes (western spadefoot toad), 202 nucleotides long. The record is from the annotation of a GenBank genome assembly. Lineage: Eukaryota; Metazoa; Chordata; Amphibia; Anura; Pelobatidae.
GUUGAAUCUAUGCCUUCUGAUCAAAUUUGUAUUAUGUUCAUUGACUGAAUUCUCUAGCAUUAUAUUCCGUUACCCUACUCUAUGUUAAAAUUGUGAAAAGGGAAAAAAAUUUGCAGAUUCUGAUGCCUGCAUAUCCUGAAAUAUUGAUUGUUACACUGUUGUGGCGUCUGUCAUACAUGUUUUGUAAUAUUUUAUGCGCAAU